Paramuricea clavata is the source of this 480-nucleotide non-coding RNA. The record is from the annotation of a GenBank genome assembly. Lineage: Eukaryota; Metazoa; Cnidaria; Anthozoa; Malacalcyonacea; Plexauridae.
UUAAACUAAUCCAAAUGGCUAAUUUCCAGUUUGCGAACGAGGUUGUUUACAUGUUGGCGUUGUUCUUGAAUUUACAUAGUACUUUAAAAUAGAAAAAUCUUGAUUUGCGAUGGUUGCAUGAUAUUCAUUCUUCAUUAUCGAUAUAUCUUUUUCGAAUCGAAGGCAAGCUUGCGAAGGAACGUUAGUUGCCGGCAAGGUAUGGAUACUUAACUUGGACAAACUAUCGCAUAAUAUAAUACUUGUAUAUCGGCAUGUAUACUACAUGUAGUCAAAAUAUGUUAUGCAAAUUUUGUUCGUAUACAUUAACAUAAGCGCUGCGAAAGAAAAUAUUAUGCAGUAAAUAGCCAAAACCUGCGCUUGAUUUUCCCCAAUUUUCAGACAAUCGUCCACAAAAUAUUUGAGACAAACCCCCUCCCCCGAUUUCAAUGUUGUUAGGCACUACAAUAUAGUUUAAUUCCAACAUCAUAUGUUAAAUUUCAA